GAUGAAGAACGUAGCGAAAUGCGAUAAGUAAUGUGAAUUGCAGAAUUCAGUGAAUCAUCGAAUCUUUGAACGCACCUUGCGCCCUUUGGCUAUUCCGAAGGGCAUGCCUGUUUGAGUAUCGUGAACACCUCAACUCUCAUGGUUUGCCAUGAUGAGCUUGGACUUUGGGGGUUUUGCUGGCCUUUGGUCGGCUCCUCUCAAACGGAUCAGCUUUCCAGUGUUUGGUGGCGUCACGGGUGUGAUAACUAUCUACGCCUGUGGUUUUCUGCCAGAUAACCUUCAGCGAUGGAGGUUCGCUGGGGCUCAUAAAUGUCUCUCUUCAGUGGAGACAGCUUUUUGGACGUUUGAUCUCAAAUCAGGUAGGACUACCCGCUGAACUUAGGCAUAUCAAUAAGCGGAGGA
RNAcentral lists this unclassified non-coding RNA (402 nucleotides) under soil metagenome. RNAcentral describes it as "partial contains 5.8S ribosomal RNA, internal transcribed spacer 2, and large subunit ribosomal RNA". The stretch from base 1 to 121 matches the Rfam family "5.8S ribosomal RNA", at positions 35 to 154 of the family's 154-position model. The record is from RNAcentral.